UGACCUCAAAUCAGGUAGGACUACCCGCUGAACUUAAGCAUAUCAAUAAGCGGAGGAAAAGAAACUAACAAGGAUUCCCCUAGUAACUGCGAGUGAAGCGGGAAGAGCUCAAAUUUUGAAUCUGGCAGUCUCUUGGCUGUCCGAGUUGUAAUCUAGAGAAGUGUUUUCCGCGCUGGACCGUGUAUAAGUCUCCUGGAAGGGAGCGUCGUAGAGGGUGAGAAUCCCGUCUUUGACACGGACUACCAGUGCUAUGUGAUGCGCUCUCGACGAGUCGAGUUGUUUGGGAAUGCAGCUCAAAAUGGGUGGUAAACUCCAUCUAAAGCUAAAUACAGGCGAGAGACCGAUAGCGAACAAGUACCGUGAGGGAAAGAUGAAAAGAACUUUGGAAAGAGAGUUAAACAGUACGUGAAAUUGCUGAAAGGGAAACGCUUGAUGUCAGUCGCGUUGGCUGGGGAUCAACCUUGCUUCUCGCUGGGUGUACUUCCCGGUCGACGGGUCAGCAUCAGUUUCGGUCGCCGUACAAGGGCGAGGGGAACGUGGCACUCUUCGGAGUGUGUUAUAGCCUUUCGUCGUAUGCGGUGGUCGGGACUGAGGAGCUCAGCACGGCUUUUUGCUUGUGCUCAGGAUGCUGGCAUAAUGGCCUUAAGCGACCCGUCU
This 657-nucleotide ribosomal RNA is filed under the name Butyriboletus roseoflavus. RNAcentral's name for it is "eukaryotic LSU rRNA". It matches the Rfam family "Eukaryotic large subunit ribosomal RNA", at positions 1 to 654 of the family's 3401-position model. Lineage: Eukaryota; Fungi; Basidiomycota; Agaricomycetes; Boletales; Boletaceae. The record is from RNAcentral.